This is a long non-coding RNA of Drosophila navojoa, 394 nucleotides long. RefSeq lists it as uncharacterized. Lineage: Eukaryota; Metazoa; Arthropoda; Insecta; Diptera; Drosophilidae. The record is from RefSeq and is a predicted model, not a curated record.
CUGCCUUCUAUAGAUUCAGUCUUCCGCCUUACCUCAAAAGUGUAACACCCAAAUUUUUAAAACUUAAAUAUUCAAAAUGUUCAUUGGCCCAGUUCAAAAAGAGCAUCUGCACCAGAUGAUCCUGGGUUGUGGUUGGCCUUGUGGAUCUCUAAGUGGGCCAUGUUGUUGUAGCGGAUGCUGCGGCAGCUGCUGCGGAGGCUGCUGUGGGGGAGGCUGCGGCGGCUGCUGCUGAUGAUCGGGGCUGAGUUUCAUCAAAUCAGUUUUGGACGGGGACCAAUGGGCUGCCGUUUUGCCAGUACAAUCUCAUCGGGAAACAAACCACAUUCAACAUCUUCUGGCAUGGGCAAUGUUAUGUACAUAGUAUAAUAAAUAAAGUGUGAGGCUUUUCGUAUAA